AUACGUAGGGUGCGAGCGUUGUCCGGAAUUACUGGGCGUAAAGAGCUCGUAGGUGGUUUGUCGCGUCGUCUGUGAAAUUCCGGGGCUUAACUCCGGGCGUGCAGGCGAUACGGGCAUAACUUGAGUACUGUAGGGGAGACUGGAAUUCCUGGUGUAGCGGUGAAAUGCGCAGAUAUCAGGAGGAACACCGGUGGCGAAGGCGGGUCUCUAGGCAGUAACUGACGCUGAGGAGCGAAAGCAUGGGUAGCGAACAGGAUUAGAUACCCUGGUAGUCCAUGCCGUAAACGGUGGGCGCUAGGUGUAGGGGUCUUCCACGACUUCUGUGCCGUAGCUAACGCAUUAAGCGCCCCGCCUGGGGAGUACGGCCGCAAGGCUAAAACUCAAAUGAAUUGACGGG
This 397-nucleotide ribosomal RNA is filed under the name uncultured bacterium. RNAcentral describes it as "partial 16S ribosomal RNA". It matches the Rfam family "Bacterial small subunit ribosomal RNA", at positions 523 to 917 of the family's 1533-position model. The record is from RNAcentral.